Molecule: non-coding RNA, 21 nt
Filed under: Caenorhabditis elegans
Lineage: Eukaryota; Metazoa; Nematoda; Chromadorea; Rhabditida; Rhabditidae
Source: RNAcentral
UGUCUCGCCAACUGCAAGCCA